AGCGAACGCUGGCGGCAGGCCUAACACAUGCAAGUCGAACGGAUCCUUCGGGAUUAGUGGCGGACGGGUGAGUAACACGUGGGAACGUGCCCUUUGGUUCGGAACAACUCAGGGAAACUUGAUCUAAUACCGGAUGUGCCCUUCGGGGGAAAGAUUUAUCGCCAUUGGAGCGGCCCGCGUCUGAUUAGCUAGUUGGUGAGGUAACGGCCCACCAAGGCGACGAUCAGUAGCUGGUCUGAGAGGAUGAUCAGCCACACUGGGACUGAGACACGGCCCAGACUCCUACGGGAGGCAGCAGUGGGGAAUAUUGCGCAAUGGGCGAAAGCCUGACGCAGCCAUGCCGCGUGAAUGAUGAAGGUCUUAGGAUUGUAAAAUUCUUUCAGCGGGGACGAUAAUGACGGUACCCGCAGAAGAAGCUCCGGCUAACUUCGUG
This 433-nucleotide ribosomal RNA is filed under the name uncultured bacterium. RNAcentral describes it as "partial 16S ribosomal RNA". It matches the Rfam family "Bacterial small subunit ribosomal RNA", at positions 29 to 507 of the family's 1533-position model. The record is from RNAcentral.